CGCCGCCCCGCCGCCCCACCGCAGUCGUAUUCUGACAGAGACAGUCUGGAGGCAGAAGCUCAAGGCGAGCAUGCAGCGGCCUGAGAUGGGGCUCCCCCUUUUUGCACUCUGAGGGGGCGGGGGGCGCCCCGUCUCAGACGUGGGUCCCCACACGAGGCCGACUUUCCGGCAGUAAAACUCGUUCUCGGCUCCGUCCAGGCCUUUCCUCAAAACCCCACGCCGUGUCCGCCCAAUGCAGCUCACCCAGCAGGAUGGGGACGGGGGGGAAGGGGGCCCCGAAGUCACAGAAGACGCAAAGGAACCUUCCGAGCCCGCCACUAAGUGGAAGGCGCCAGGGGGGGCGAGGCGAGGCUGCCCGCGAUGUGAUUCCGGCCGUAGGACCUUCCGGAAAAGUCACAGCCGUGGGGACGUGGAAAGGGCAGUGGCCUCCGGGGUCUGGCUCGGGGGUAGUGUGGGGCGGGGGGCGAGCAGAGGAGGUGCUCGGUGGGACACUGCGGUGGUGGGCACAGCCAUUACCCGUUUGUCCGAGCCCGCAGGACACGCAGCGCUGAGAGUGGGCCCCCCGUCAGCCGUGGACUCCGGGUGGCGAUGGUGAUGAUGAGUCAGGACGGGUGCACCGAUCGUAACAGACGGAGCGCUCUGGCGACAGCAGGAGAGGCUGUGCGCUGAGCGGGGGGAGGCGGGGGGGGGAGGGGCUCACCGGAAACUGCCCCGCCAGGAGCCGAGAAGGUAGACAACCUCCGGAUUGGGCAUCUCCCCGGGUGAAGGUAACGCCGGCCGCCCAGCUCGACCUUGAACAAGGGGCCGCCGGCAGCUGACCGCUCCCUGGCUAACACUGUCCGGCCUCCCCACGCGCACAUGCGCUCUUCCCAAGGUGCCGCUGGGCGGGGGGGCACACACUCAGACGCCAGUCCUUGGGUUCCCGGCGCUGGGGUCUCUGGGCCAGCUCCAAGGAGACCCUUCUUAAAGACUGACUGCAAGUGCAACGCUUUGUCAGUGGUGCUCUGCAAGGCCAAAGGUCCCCUCAGGUUGGGUGAGUGAAAGGGCUCUGCUUCUUCGCCCUCUUGGCCCGAGUUCUCACACGCGCUGUGUGCGUGGGCAGGUAUUGGCUGCCCCGGGAGAAUCCGAGGGGCGCUCGCUUCAGAGACCUGCCCUCGAAUGUGGGCCAGGGUGGCCUGGAGAUGCGCUGGUGACCUGUGUAACACUCUGGGGGGGACACAGGGAGGCACAGGCCCGUCCCCAGCUCCACAGCUCAGGGCCUGGAUACGGCUGACAUUUACCUCUGAGACCCCCUCUCUCCCGGCUGAUCCCCCCACUACGUGUUGGCAGAAGCUUCCAUGGCUGGAACGCUCCUCAAAGGGCUAGUCCAGAGUAUGUGGGCUGGGAAAACCUCGGAGCAGUCUGAAUGCCGACGUCCAGGGUUCUUGUGUUUAAAGGUGCUGAGGGCUUCUCAGGAAACGACCCCCGGAGAGCGGCAGGAACUGUCCUCUGUCCUCAGAAAGACACGGGAAGCUGGUCUGGGGUCGUUGGCCCCCUCACAGUCACAGGGAAACCCAUCUAUCUGUAUAGAGAACCCGGAGCCUGGCCAGGAUGUCUGGUCAGAGCCACAGACUGGCCCCACAGCCCAUGAGCAGGGGCGGGGCCUCUCACGCCUGCCUGACCCCGCUGCGCACACGAAACAUCGGGGGUGGCGUGAACUAGGUGCAGAGUCCCAGAGGGAGGCUGCGCUGAGCCCCCUUGGGCAGCUGGUGUCCCCGAGCUCCACUGUGGGGGUGAAGUGACAUUGCGGGCCCGGCGUGUCCCGCCAGCCACCGCACAACUCGGGUCAGGGGGCUGGCACAUCUCGAAGACCCGAACUCACCCAGACCCGUCACCAGUGCCAGGGGCCACCCCGCCCCCACCUCCCCGCCUGCCACUCGGAUGUCCCCGUUUCCCGCCCGGGCUGACGCCGCCUGAGUCACUCGGCACACAGGACGCGGUGCAUCAGCCGCGCUGAAGUCCCCUCGUCACCACAGGCCGGUUUCACAACCCUGCUUCUGGGAAGAGAAUGGAAUUCAGUUCUAUUGUCUUCGCCUCCCCCCUUUAAAAAAAAAUAAAGUGCCCCCCC
Phyllostomus hastatus (greater spear-nosed bat) is the source of this 2107-nucleotide long non-coding RNA. RefSeq lists it as uncharacterized. The record is from RefSeq and is a predicted model, not a curated record. NCBI's taxonomy places the organism in Eukaryota, Metazoa, Chordata, Mammalia, Chiroptera, Phyllostomidae. The transcript has 4 exons.